UACGGAGGGGGCUAGCGUUGUUCGGAAUUACUGGGCGUAAAGCGCGCGUAGGCGGACCUGCAAGUCGGGGGUGAAAGCCCGAGGCUCAACCUCGGAACUGCCUUUGAUACUGGCGAGCUCGAGUCCGGGAGAGGUGAGUGGAACUCCGAGUGUAGAGGUGAAAUUCGUAGAUAUUCGCAAGAACACCAGUGGCGAAGGCGGCUCACUGGCCCGGUACUGACGCUGAGGUGCGAAAGCGUGGGGAGCAAACAGG
Molecule: ribosomal RNA, 253 nt
Filed under: uncultured bacterium
Lineage: Bacteria
Description: partial 16S ribosomal RNA
Rfam family: Bacterial small subunit ribosomal RNA
Source: RNAcentral